RNAcentral lists this small RNA (583 nucleotides) under Pongo abelii (Sumatran orangutan). Its description in RNAcentral is "retained intron". Lineage: Eukaryota; Metazoa; Chordata; Mammalia; Primates; Hominidae. The record is from RNAcentral.
GUGUUGCCGUUUUGUUGUAUUAACGUUGGCACUGUCUUUUUCUGCAGAGAUGGACAGAGACGUAUGUGCGUUGGUCUCCUAAGGGCACCUACCUGGCUACCUUUCAUCAAAGAGGCAUUGCUCUAUGGGGGGGAGAGAAAUUCAAGCAAAUUCAGAGAUUCAGCCACCAAGGGGUUCAGCUCAUUGACUUCUCACCUUGUGAAAGGUACCUGGUGACCUUUAGCCCCCUGAUGGACACGCAGGAUGACCCUCAGGCCAUAAUCAUCUGGGACAUCCUUACGGGGCACAAGAAGAGGGGUUUUCACUGUGAGAGCUCAGCCCAUUGGCCUAUUUUUAAGUAAGUGGACCAUUGUAAUGAGCUCUGUAGCCUUUGUCUUUUCUUGGGAAUACCCUGGCACUUCUGUUUCUUCUUAGGUGGAGCCAUGAUGGCAAAUUCUUUGCCAGAAUGACCCUGGAUACGCUUAGCAUCUAUGAAACUCCUUCUAUGGGGCUUUUGGACAAGAAGAGUUUGAAGAUCUCCGGGAUAAAGUGAGUAUUCUUAUCAAUUUGGUGUCUUAGUGUGUUCAGGCUGCUUAACACAAUA